Molecule: small nuclear RNA, 111 nt
Organism: Schistocerca gregaria
Lineage: Eukaryota; Metazoa; Arthropoda; Insecta; Orthoptera; Acrididae
Source: RefSeq, a predicted model, not a curated record
GUACUCGCUUCGGCGGUACAUAUAUGUACUACAUUUGUAACGAUACAGAGAAGAUUAGCAUGGCCCCUGCGCAAGGAUGACACGCAAAAUCGUGAAGCGUUUAAUAUUUAA